Molecule: long non-coding RNA, 1059 nt
Organism: Eutrema salsugineum
Lineage: Eukaryota; Viridiplantae; Streptophyta; Magnoliopsida; Brassicales; Brassicaceae
Exons: 5
Source: RefSeq, a predicted model, not a curated record
AUAGUCCAUCAAGAUAUUCGUUUACGAUAUCAGACGCAAACUGUUGUAUCGUGCAGACUAUACCAACUUCGAAGAAAAACAAGGGUAGGGUAUGCGUUCAUACAAUGUCAUGUAUCGCUCUCGUGAGGCAAAAGGUGAUGAUACCGACCACGAUUAUAACGGAAGUGAUCAAAUUACACACCGCGCAUGGUGAUUGUUUAGUUUGCGGCUAUGUGGAAGGGUUAAGUUUCCUUCUUCUUCUUUUUUUGGGUCGUCUUUAAUUUUGUGAUUGUCUUCGUUUAGCACUUAUGUUUUGUAUGUUAACCGGGUUUGCCGGUUUGGUGCACUUUACUUUUUAGUUUUUAGUUGGGGCUGACCAGAGAUGUGUUUCGCUUGUUUGUUCUUAUAUGUUUUAAUUAUUGAUAGUUGUGUUUUGAGAAUACACACGUAUCAUUGGAGAAGCAAGUCAAAAUGGCAGUCGAACUAAUUAACAAAGCUACAUGAAGCUACAAGGCAAAAUUGGUUACCAACAUACGUAUGUAGAUUUCUCAAAUAUUGAAGUCACAGUUCCUAAAACACGCGGCUCUGAGAUGGUGAAAACAUGUCCAUGCAAUGGGGUUUGGUUUUGCUGCCUCAACAACUGAUGGUCCACGUGCUUUCGAUUUUAGACAAGGAGAUGAUGAGGUAAUGGAUUUUGGAGAUUAGUGAGGAACGUAUAAAAUCCUGGUCCGGAACAGGUCCAAUGUCAGAAACCAAAACCCAUUUUACUUCACUCUGCCUCGAUUUUUUAUGAAAUUUUAAAUCUUCCUAGAGAACGGGUAUCUUUUUCUGGUGAUGAAGAUCUAAUGCUGGUGGUUCUUGACAGGUCAAAAAGAAAAAGAUCAUAUGAUCCUGCUUCAACGGUUAUGGCCUAUACUUACUACAAACAACUAAAAUGAAGAACUUUGUAUCCUAAGAUCAUUGUGUGUUGUGUUUCAACUAUACAUUGUGACCUUGUUUCAGUUUUCAAACUAUGUAUCCUCUUUGUUUCAAGAUGAACGUUCAUGUUAGAAUGGUCAGCUAAUAGGUGUCCACGUUAUU